Molecule: ribosomal RNA, 1460 nt
Filed under: Salinivibrio sp.
Lineage: Bacteria; Pseudomonadati; Pseudomonadota; Gammaproteobacteria; Vibrionales; Vibrionaceae
Description: partial 16S ribosomal RNA
Rfam family: Bacterial small subunit ribosomal RNA
Source: RNAcentral
GGGCAAUUGCGGCAGCUACACAUGCAAGUCGAGCGGAACGGCUUAUUGAAGCUUCGGUGGAUUUACUGGACGUCGAGCGGCGGACGGGUGAGUAACGGCUGGGAACCUGCCCUGACGAGGGGGAUAACCGUUGGAAACGACGGCUAAUACCGCAUAAUGUCUAGAUUCCUUAGGUGCACGACCCAAGGUGGCCUCCGCGUGUAAACUAUCCCGUUGGGAAGUACCCAGUUGGGAUUGUCUAGUUUUACCGGUGCUGCCACCCCUAGGCGGCUAUCCAUGACUGGUUUGAUAGGAUGAACUGACACACUGGGACUGAUACACGGGCAAGACUCAUAGGGGAAGAUUGCAUGGGUAAUAUUACACUGUGGCGGACACCCUGAUGGUGUCAAGACGGCCUUGUGAUUAAAGCCCUUUUGUUGUAAAGAACAUUCACCAGUAAUUAAGGUUUGGUACUUUUGACGUGCACUGCUUGACAUUUUCUGGCUAAGAACCAGCGGCCACCUCCGUGCCGCCAGCCGCUGUAAUCCGGAUGGUGCAAUCGUUAAUCUAAAUUGCCGGGCUUCAAUUUCAUGAAAGCGAUUUGAUAAAUCAGAUGUGAAACCCCGAGGCUCAAUUUACAAACCUCGGUUGAAAGUGUGUUGAUGGAGUUUUACUUAGGGGAGUAUAAUUUGUUGUGACCCAGUGCUGUGCGGAUAACAUUGAGCAAUACACCUUCGCGAAAGAGGACCUGUGUCCUCUUACUGACUUUUUUAUGAUCACUGAUUGUGGCACGGAGAGGUUUUACCCUGAUACGCUAUCCCUUGUAGCUGUCUACUUGGACUUGAGGUUUCAGAUCUUGGCAUUGCCUCUAACGCCUGAAGUGUACCGCCGGAGGAUUACAACUCAAAGGAUUAGACUCGGAUGUAUUGACGCGGGACACCAUGCGCUGUGGAGCAAUGGCUCUGAAACAAUACUACGUGUGAAGUCUUCCUACGCUGGCCAUACAGAUCAACCUUUACAUAUAGAAGCGCGCCUACGGGAGCUCUGAGACUGUCGCCGCCUGGCGUUCUGCAAUGUCUUGUUAGAACCGUAGCGUACGCACCGCUACUACUGCUAUCGCUAUCCUUGAUGGGCAGCACUCCAUGGUAGACGAGCUGCGUGGAAGAACUGCACGGUAGAUAAGCGCGCGAGAUGGUGUGCGUACGUCAAGUCAUCAUGGCCCUUACGAGUAGGGCUACACACGUGCUACAAUGGCAGAUACAGAGGGCAGCGAGACAGCGAUGUUUAGCGAAUCCCUUAAAGUUUGUCGUAGUCCGGAUUGGAGUCUGCAACUCGACUCCAUGAAGUCGGAAUCGCUAGUAAUCGUGGAUCAGAAUGCCACGGUGAAUACGUUCCCGGGCCUUGUACACACCGCCCGUCACACCAUGGGAGUGGGCUGCACCAGAAGUAGAUAGCUUAACCUUCGGGAGGGCGUACACGGA